AAAAAGUUUUGCUUUGGCUUAAAAUUAGGGUUUUUCAAUUUUGUGCAUGCAAGUUUUAGCCAACCUAUAAGAACUGUUAGCUAAAAGCAUUUUAAUAAUUGAGAUAACAAUUAUCUAUCUUAUAAGCAGUACAAAUUUUUAUUAAAAUAGUGAAAACUGGUAAAAACAAAAGAAAAAAUGGGUGGAAAAAAUUGUGCCAGCAUCCGCGGUUACACAAUUAACCCAAACUUUAAUUACUAGGUAGAAUGGUCAAAAAUUAAGAAAGAACUUAACCUAGGUACAAUAAUAAUAAACUUUCCAAACUUUCAUAUUUUAAAACCAUGAAAGUUUUAUUUAGAACUAGGAUUAGACACCCUACUACUACUAACCGUAAAAAUCCACCAGGGCAUUAAAAGAAGAACUUAAAACCUAAAGAGCUUGGCGGUCUUCUAUAACACCAGGGGAGCUUGUCACAGAAACGAUAAUCCGCGAUAAGACAAACCUUUUCUUGAACUUCAGUUCGUAUACCUCCGUCCAGUUAAUCUCUAAAAGAAUUAGCAUUUGAAUUAUUUCACAACGUCAGGUCAAGGUACAACUAAUGAAAAGGAGUUGGUGAGCUACUUUAUGAACAUUAAUAAAUUUUUUAUUUUAAAAUAAAAAUGAAAUAGUACUUGGUAGUAAUUUAACUUUAACAUAGAAAAAUGAAAUAAACCUAGAAGAUGUACAAAUCGCCCGUCGUUCCCCCCAAAAGGGGGGAAAAGUCGUAACAAAGUAGUUGUACUUGAAAGUGUAUCU
Molecule: non-coding RNA, 774 nt
Filed under: Chiastosella watersi
Lineage: Eukaryota; Metazoa; Bryozoa; Gymnolaemata; Cheilostomatida; Escharinidae
Source: RNAcentral